AUAUUCCUGGCAAAGAGAAAUUUCUCAAGCAAGAAUUUAGCUAGGACUGUCUGGGAGUGUUCUGAGUCGGGAGGGGAAAAUUGAAAACGAGCUGUUUUUGGCGGAGGUUUGGACAUCUUUCUUAUUGGUCUAUUGAUACCACCACUAUCAUAAUUUUCGCAAAUUCACAGUAUUAUGCCAACCUUAUAGUGUGGAAAUAUAUAUAAACAUCGUGUUUUUGACUGCACUGGGCCUAAAAAGAUUAACCUUAGCAUCAGGUACUCUUGUGUUUAUAAAGUAUCUCCAUUUAAAGGCCUAGUGCAGUCACACACAAUUCCAGAGUGUUAUUUCUACCUCAAUGUACUAAUUUUAACAAUUACAUUUACUUUUGAAACUUAAGUAUAUUUAAAACCAAGUACUUUUUUACUUUUACUCAAGUAGUAUUUUGCUAGGAGACUUUAACUUUUACAAUUGGGUACUUUUCCCCCCCACUGCAAACAGGCUAUUAUUACAGUAACUAACUACAUUGUCUACACAGUAAGUAUAGCUAGGUCGUUGUUUUCUAUAAUAAACUACGUACAAUACGUUGUAACACGGAACAAAAUAAAGUUUGCGCCAGAAGGGGUCCGUUUUUCAGCUUUUCUCAGAUGCAAUUUGUCCAUUGCCAUGUCUUGCUUGAAAGCUUGAAGAUAAUAAUUAGUUGUAUGCCCAUUCGUUUUCAUUGCAGCCCUGUUUGAACGCAUAGUUACGCUAACUCCGUAUUCACAAUGUAGCUAGUUAUCGUGUGUCUGCAUUGCCAGUGCUUAGUUUGGCUGGAAGCAGGUUAAGUCUUGAGCAGGCAACCUCUGUGAAUUUUAAUGUAGUUUGCAAAAGUUCAAUCAGGAAGGCUGGUCUGAAAGCUCAUUUAACUUAAGCGUUUCACUCUGUUUCCCAGCAAAGGGUUACCAGCAUCUGUCAUCAGCAUUCAUCGGAGACGUGGCCGUACCUCAUUAAGACAUGUCCAUAUUGUAUUCUGUUUCUGUUGUUCAUUCAGUUAUUUAAGCAUGUACUCGAUUGAAAUACUGUUGCAGCCGUCAACAGGCAAUAACUAGCUACAGGAGAUGUUAGAAUUAAUACAUAUUUAACUCUAACCUAUUUUUCUGGAAUUUGUCUUAAGCAUAAAAAUAUCCUGCCUCUUCUUCACCAGUGAAUCAAUGAGGAUGUACAAGCAGCACUUCGGUGCUAAAGGGUCAUCGCUGAUGAAAGGCCUGCAAAAUGAGGAGGAGGAGCUACUUGAGGAUGAAGAGUAUGAGAUUGAGACACAGACACACAUACACAGGACAGACAGGUGAACAUCGACUGGCAGAGAAGCAGCUGAACUGGUUCCUCCCUAACCCUUCUAGUUUGAUGCUGACAGAGGUGGCUGCUAUACAUGCUAAACUGGUGGUGCAGGUCGUAGAAAUGCUCUAGCCUGGUCCCAGAUCCCUCUAGCCGGGUCUUGCUAACUCCUAAUGUAUGAUAUGGUUAUGAUAGUAAUGUAGGCCCUAACUUGCACUUUGUUUUUAGGUUUGAAUGAGACAAUAUAUUCCCCUAACCUUAUUCUUUUAAUAAAGUUAUUGUUUAUGGAUAUUAUA
Molecule: long non-coding RNA, 1592 nt
Organism: Salmo salar (Atlantic salmon)
Lineage: Eukaryota; Metazoa; Chordata; Actinopteri; Salmoniformes; Salmonidae
Source: RefSeq, a predicted model, not a curated record